AUGCACGCACUCACUCUCCUUUACGACAAGGAGAACAAGCCGAACAAUGGCAGGGAGGCAGGCAAGGUAGCUCUCCACGCUCAGGCAAUGGGCGAGGCAGCCUUUAGCAUGUGCAGGGAGAGAGAAAAGGAAGCAAUGAAUGAAUGUAGGGGAGGGAGAGGGGAGGAGGAGGAGGUGCGAGAAAUGACGAGUAAAGUACGUGGGGGAUUUAUGGGCUGGGAGGCACAAGAAGUGUCGGUAGGGGUUUCAAGCUUUGCUCUGCUCAGCUCGCUUGUCUUGCUGAGCUAUCCAACCAACGGGUUGGAGGUGUCUGUGGGUUGUAAUUGUGUUUGA
RNAcentral lists this ribosomal RNA (333 nucleotides) under Triticum aestivum (bread wheat). Its description in RNAcentral is "partial small subunit ribosomal RNA". The record is from RNAcentral. Lineage: Eukaryota; Viridiplantae; Streptophyta; Magnoliopsida; Poales; Poaceae.